Molecule: unclassified non-coding RNA, 277 nt
Filed under: sea anemone metagenome
Description: partial contains small subunit ribosomal RNA and internal transcribed spacer 1
Rfam family: Eukaryotic small subunit ribosomal RNA (bases 1-153)
Source: RNAcentral
GCUCCUACCGAUUGAGUGAUCCGGUGAAUUAUUCGGACUGACGCAGUGCUCAGCUUCUGGACGUUGCGUUGGAAAGUUUCAUGAACCUUAUCACUUAAAGGAAGGAGAAGUCGUAACAAGGUUUCCGUAGGUGAACCUGCAGAAGGAUCAAGAUCGGAGGAGCACCCGUCUGAAUCCCAGCCACGUGGCUUUACUUCUUAUGCGUCCUUCUGCUUGAAAAAUACAAAUGUACCUUUGUAACUGACAUCUUCCAUCUCCUUGCUUCACUACGUCAUCC